This 500-nucleotide ribosomal RNA is filed under the name uncultured bacterium. Its description in RNAcentral is "partial 16S ribosomal RNA". It matches the Rfam family "Bacterial small subunit ribosomal RNA", at positions 28 to 523 of the family's 1533-position model. The record is from RNAcentral.
GAUGAACGCUGGAGGCGUGCCUUAAGCAUGCAAGUGAAACGGGUUUUUGGUCGCAAGAUCGAAAACUAGUCGCAGACGGGUGAGUAAUACAUCGGAACGUGCCUAGUAGUGGGGGAUAACUACUCGAAAGAGUGGCUAAUACCGCAUGAGAUCUACGGAUGAAAGCAGGGGAUCGCAAGACCUUGUGCUACUAGAGCGGCCGAUGGCAGAUUAGGUAGUUGGUGGGAUAAAAGCUUACCAAGCCGACGAUCUGUAGCUGGUCUGAGAGGACGAUCAGCCACACUGGGACUGAGAAACGGCCCAGAUUCCUACGGGAGGCAGCAGUGGGGAAUUUUGGACAAUGGGCGCAAGCCUGAUCCAGCAAUGCCGCGUGCAGGAUGAAGGCCUUCGGGUUGUAAACUGCUUUUGUACGGAACGAAAAGCCCCGGGUUAAUACCCUGGGGUCAUGACGGUACCGUAAGAAUAAGCACCGGCUAACUACGUGCCAGCAGCCGCCGCAG